GCAAGUCGAACGAUGAAACCAAGCUUGCUUGGUGAAUUAGUGGCGAAAGGGUGAGUAACGCGUGAGUAAGCUGCCCUCAAGUUGGGAAUAAUUCUCCGAAAGGAGGACUAAUACCGGAUGUGGUUAUAGGAACGCAUGUUUUUAUAACUAAAGAUUCAUCGCUUGAGGAUGUGCUCGCGUCCCAUUAUGUUUGUUGGUGAGGUAACGGCUCACCAAGACUAUGACGGGUAGGUGGUCUGAGAGGAUGGUC
Molecule: ribosomal RNA, 250 nt
Filed under: uncultured bacterium
Lineage: Bacteria
Description: partial 16S ribosomal RNA
Rfam family: Bacterial small subunit ribosomal RNA
Source: RNAcentral